GGAAACUGUCAUUCUUUGAUCAAAGACUGGAGAGGUGUAAGCUCUGCUCAGAACACCUGCUCUGGCAAUAGGCCACGGGCAGGGCUGCUUUAUAGCGAUCAGCUGGGAGCAGUUGGGGCCGAGCCCUUCAUGUCUCGGGCUGUCCACACUCCAAGCGCGGUGCGGGCGCCCAGGCCUCCAUCUUGCAUCUCACUGUGAGCCCGGCGCUUGCGCACACAGCUUGCCUGCUAUGCUGAGGGGUGGGUGCAGCCGCUUGCCACGAGGAGGAGCUCUGGUCUGAAGCCCCUGGUGCGAGGUCUCUGCUCAGACCACCCUGUGAGCAAGUGAAACUCAACCAAGCACGAAGGAAAGAAAGGACAAGGGGACGGACACUAAGAAGGGGAUGUAUUGUCUGCGUGUGUUGCCUUCACACCUUUGAAUUCUAAAGGGAUGGCAGGGGCAGCUAACAGAGAGCAGAGAGGAGGCAUCCGGAAUCCCAUGUGGCACAUUUAUGUCAACUGCAUGUCAAUCAGAUGCAAGUGAAGACUAAGCAGUUCCAGCACGGGAACCUCUGAAAAUCAAGACCACAUCAUCCUGAUGUUUUGGCAUUUUGCCCAUUGCCUCAGCAUGUGCUUUUAAAGAGAGCUCUCUAUUGCCGUCUCAUGGUGAAUGAGUGAAUGGCUGGGAUUAGGAGACAAAACUGGCUACCACCACUAAGCAGUCUGGCAUUCAUCCUUCUGAAACAUUUACCCUUCUGUCAGCUGGUCCUCUGGCCUAUUAAAACCAGAUCCCAGGUAAGGUCCCGAUGUCUACCUUGCAAAGGUAUUGGAUGGGGUAUCCUUUUGACUGGGAAAUGAAACGUUGAUGUCCUGUGAAGGAAAAUUUAAUCCCCAGUAUGGUGGACAAGGAAAGCAUUGUUUUUGUUUGUUUCCUUUCUUUUUGUGUUUAAACUAGUAGGGUGUGGAGGACAGGGGAGAAGUGCCCUAUCCACAGUGCCUGAGGACGGCUUAGCAACCCAGGAGUGUGUAGAGAGAAACUGGCUUAGCUCGUAUAGGAAGUUCUGUAGGAAACAUUCAUGGGCUCUGAGAAGUUGCAUUUCUAUCAAUGGGAGAUUUUCGGUUUUUUUAACUUUUUUGAAGUGUGGAGAUUUCUUAAUUUUCUCAAGAGUAAAAGUUUAACGAGUACUGUUUUCUUUUAGUUGAAGUUGAUGUCUCAUCCAGCCUUAAUGUUGCUAGUAGCAGGGCUAUUCUUAAAACCAUUCCUAAAAAAGAAUCAGCUACCUCACCAGAAACUGCCACAGCAUUCCUCGACUCUUCAGAAAUUCCAUUUCAUGCCAUUCUUAUUUGGAACAUACUUUGCAAUUAACAGUGUUCUGGUUCCUGUGAAUUGUGAAAAGAAUGAAUAGUGGGAGUUCCCAUUGUGGCUCAGCAGUAACAAACCCGAUUAGUACCCAUGAGGAUGGACAUUUGAUCCCUGGCCUCGCUCAGUGGGUUAAGGAUCUGGCGUUACCUUGAGCUAUGGUGUAGGUCACAGAUGCGCCUCGGAUCCCGAGUUGCUGUGGGUGUGGCUGUUGCUGUGGUGUAGGCCAGCAGCAAUAGCUCCAACUUGACCCCUAGCUUGGGAACUUACAUGUGCCCAAAGUGUGGCCCUAAAAAGCAAAAAAAAAAAAAAGGAACAUGGAUCUAAAUAUCACACUUAUUUGUUUCAAAAAAUGAUAAAGCCAAGACUUAGAUUGAUAGUUGGAUAGGGAAGAAAAUAGGAUCUUUUGCCCCUCCUUUGAUGUCCCCAUAUUUUAUUUCUGAAAUAAAUAACCCAUAAAUAAUUGGCCUAGGCCUAGUAAAAGGAUAAUAAAAUGAUUUAGUUUUAUAAAUGGUGAUAGGUAGGAAACACUAUAGAACUGGUGACUUUCUUCUAAAGUUUUGGUUAAGCCAUUGGAGACUUUGCUGUCCAGAAGGUAGGGAUGUUGGCUCUGCCCUAAUUAUCUCAAAUAGCAAGUCUGUUUGGCCCCCAGGAAGGCGGCCAGAUAACGAAUGUGGACAUUACUUUUCUCAGCUCAAAUUGAGAAAAAAAAACUUUACAGAGCUUUGAGGAAGGCAGAUACCAGCAGCCUCUUUUAUGGUGGGUGUGAACACAAAUCAAAGACUCCAGCCGAAAACAUCCUCCACCUGGCGACUUCCAGGAUUUAAAAAAAAAAAAAGCAAAAAAAAAAAAA
RNAcentral lists this long non-coding RNA (2191 nucleotides) under Sus scrofa (pig). RNAcentral describes it as "lncRNA (ENSSSCG00065014855.1)". Lineage: Eukaryota; Metazoa; Chordata; Mammalia; Artiodactyla; Suidae. The record is from RNAcentral.